UACGGGGGGGGCAAGCGUUGUUCGGAAUUACUGGGCGUAAAGGGCUCGUAGGUGGCCAACUAAGUCAGACGUGAAAUCCCUCGGCUUAACCGGGGAACUGCGUCUGAUACUGGAUGGCUUGAGUUUGGGAGAGGGAUGCGGAAUUCCAGGUGUAGCGGUGAAAUGCGUAGAUAUCUGGAGGAACACCGGUGGCGAAGGCGGCAUCCUGGACCAACACUGACACUGAGGAGCGAAAGCCAGGGGGCAAACGGG
Molecule: ribosomal RNA, 252 nt
Filed under: uncultured bacterium
Lineage: Bacteria
Description: partial 16S ribosomal RNA
Rfam family: Bacterial small subunit ribosomal RNA
Source: RNAcentral